GAUGAACGCUGGCGGCGUGCCUAAUACAUGCAAGUCGAGCGAACAGACGAGGAGCUUGCUCCUCUGACGUUAGCGGCGGACGGGUGAGUAACACGGGGAUAACCUACCUAUUAGACUGGGAUAACUUCGGGAAACCGGAGCUACUACAGGAUACUAUAUUGAACCACAUGGGUCCAGAGUGAAAUACGGUUUUGCUGUGACUUCUAGAUGGAUCCGCUCCGCAUUAGCUUGUUGGUCAGGUAAAGGGUUACCAAGGAAACGAUGCGUAGGCGAGCUGAGAGGGUGAUCGGCCACACUGGAACUGAGAAACGGUCCAGACUCCUACGGGAGGCAGCAGGAGGGAAUCUUUCGCAAUGGGCGAAAGCCUGACGGAGCAAAGCCGCGUGAGGGAAGAAGGUCUUCGGAGCGUAAAACUCUGUUAUUAGGGAAGAACAAAUGUGUAAGUAACUACGGACGUCUUGACGGUACCUAAUGAGAAAGCACCGGCUAACUACGUG
This 497-nucleotide ribosomal RNA is filed under the name uncultured bacterium. Its description in RNAcentral is "partial 16S ribosomal RNA". It matches the Rfam family "Bacterial small subunit ribosomal RNA", at positions 28 to 507 of the family's 1533-position model. The record is from RNAcentral.